GACGAACGCUGGCGGCGUGCUUAACACAUGCAAGUCGAACGGAAAGGCCCUGCUUUUGUGGGGUGCUCGAGUGGCGAACGGGUGAGUAACACGUGAGUAACCUGCCCUUGACUUUGGGAUAACUUCAGGAAACUGGGGCUAAUACCGGAUAGGAGCUCCUGCUGCAUGGUGGGGGUUGGAAAGUUUCGGCGGUUGGGGAUGGACUGCGGGCUUUUAGGCUUGUUGGUGGGGUAGUGGCUUACCAAGGCUUUGACGGGUAGCCGGCCUGAGAGGGUGACCGGCCACAUUGGGACUGAGAUACGGCCCAGACUCCUACGGGAGGCAGCAGUGGGGAAUAUUGCACAAUGGGCGGAAGCCUGAUGCAGCAACGCCGCGUGCGGGAUGACGGCCUUCGGGUUGUAAACCGCUUUCGCCUGUGACGAAGCGUGAGUGACGGUAAUGGGUAAAGAAGCACCGGCUAACUACGUG
Molecule: ribosomal RNA, 468 nt
Filed under: uncultured bacterium
Lineage: Bacteria
Description: partial 16S ribosomal RNA
Rfam family: Bacterial small subunit ribosomal RNA
Source: RNAcentral